RNAcentral lists this ribosomal RNA (447 nucleotides) under uncultured bacterium. Its description in RNAcentral is "bacterial SSU rRNA". It matches the Rfam family "Bacterial small subunit ribosomal RNA", at positions 46 to 482 of the family's 1533-position model. The record is from RNAcentral.
GCCUAACACAUGCAAGUCGAGGGGCAGCGCAAAGAUAGUUUACUAUUUUGGCGGCGACCGGCGCACGGGUGAGUAACGCGUAUGCAACCUACCUUAUACAGGAGUAUAGCCCGAAGAAAUUCGGAUUAAUCCUCCAUAGUAUUCUUUAAUGGCAUCAUUUGAAGAAUUAAAGCUUCGGCGGUAUAAGAUGGGCAUGCGUCCUAUUAGCUAGAUGGUAAGGUAACGGCUUACCAUGGCUACGAUAGGUAGGGGGCCUGAGAGGGUGAUCCCCCACACUGGUACUGAGACACGGACCAGACUCCUACGGGAGGCAGCAGUGAGGAAUAUUGGGCAAUGGGCGCAAGCCUGACCCAGCCAUGCCGCGUGCAGGAAGAAUGCCCUAUGGGUUGUAAACUGCUUUUAUUUAGGAAUAAACCCCUUUACGUGUAGAGGGCUGAAUGUACUAAA